GACGAACGCUGGCGGCGUGCCUAACACAUGCACGUCGAACGGAAAGGCCCUGCCUUUGUGGGGUGCCCGAGUGGCGAACGGGUGAGUAACACGUGAGUAACCUGCCCUUGACUUUGGGAUAACUUCAGGAAACUGGGGCUAAUACCGGAUAGGAGCUCCUGCUGCAUGGUGGGGGUUGGAAAGUUUCGGCGGUUGGGGAUGGACUCGCGGCUCAUCAGCUUGUUGGUGGGGUAGUGGCUUACCAAGGCUUUGACGGGUAGCCGGCCUGAGAGGGGGACCGGGCAGAUUGGGACUGAGGUACGGCCCAGACUCCUACGGGAGGCAGCAGUGGGGAAUAUUGCGCAAUGGGCGGAAGCCGGAUGCAGCAACGCCGCGUGCGGGAUGACGGCCUUCGGGUUGUAGACCGCUUUCGCCUGUGACGAAGCGUGAGUGACGGUAAUGGGUAAAGAAGCACCGGCUAACUACGUG
Molecule: ribosomal RNA, 468 nt
Filed under: uncultured bacterium
Lineage: Bacteria
Description: partial 16S ribosomal RNA
Rfam family: Bacterial small subunit ribosomal RNA
Source: RNAcentral